Molecule: long non-coding RNA, 227 nt
Filed under: Homo sapiens (human)
Lineage: Eukaryota; Metazoa; Chordata; Mammalia; Primates; Hominidae
Description: HSALNT0358415
Source: RNAcentral
GAGAGAUCUAACCACUGGUCAUCUGAAAAAGAAGAAAGCAUAAUACUGCCAUUCUACAUUCACAUAAGUCCUCUUAGGAGAGGAUCCUGCUAGCAAUAUGCAUACUGUCUCAUGAUGCUGGAUACACAGUGGCAGCAAGCUGCAGUUGGCAAUGUGAUCACAAAGGCAAUCAACCAAUACUGUACUCUAUAGUAUACUGUAUUCAAUAAAUUACAUGACAUAUUCAA